This 246-nucleotide ribosomal RNA is filed under the name uncultured bacterium. RNAcentral describes it as "partial 16S ribosomal RNA". It matches the Rfam family "Bacterial small subunit ribosomal RNA", at positions 523 to 769 of the family's 1533-position model. The record is from RNAcentral.
AUACGUAGGGUGCAAGCGUUAAUCGGAAUUACUGGGCGUAAAGCGUGCGCAGGCGGUUCGGAAAGAAAGAUGUGAAAUCCCAGGGCUUAACCUUGGAACUGCAUUUUAACUACCGGGCUAGAGUGUGUCAGAGGGGGGUGGAAUUCCGCGUGUAGCAGUGAAAUGCGUAGAGAUGCGGAGGAACACCGAUGGCGAAGGCAGCCCCCUGGGAUAACACUGACGCUCAUGCACGAAAGCGUGGGGAGC